RNAcentral lists this ribosomal RNA (253 nucleotides) under uncultured Gemmatimonas sp. RNAcentral's name for it is "partial 16S ribosomal RNA". It matches the Rfam family "Bacterial small subunit ribosomal RNA", at positions 524 to 776 of the family's 1533-position model. Lineage: Bacteria; Pseudomonadati; Gemmatimonadota; Gemmatimonadia; Gemmatimonadales; Gemmatimonadaceae. The record is from RNAcentral.
UACAGAGGGUGCGAGCGUUGUCCGGAAUCACUGGGCGUAAAGGGCGCGUAGGCGGUUUUUCAAGCGUGCGGUGAAAGCUCAGGGCUCAACCCUGAGUCGGCCGUGCGAACUGGGAGACUGGAGCACGGUAGAGGCACAUGGAAUUCCGGGUGUAGCGGUGGAAUGCGUAGAGAUCCGGAAGAACACCGGUGGCGAAGGCGGUGUGCUGGGCCGUUGCUGACGCUGAGGCGCGACAGCGUGGGGAGCAAACAGG